Non-coding RNA from Myodes glareolus (Bank vole), 568 nucleotides. NCBI's taxonomy places the organism in Eukaryota, Metazoa, Chordata, Mammalia, Rodentia, Cricetidae. The record is from RefSeq and is a predicted model, not a curated record.
CAUAGCCAGAUGACAGGCCAGGCCAGCAAAAUGACUGAAUCCUAACACAAGUACCACAGGCUGAGUGACUUAAACGCCACACAUGGAUUUCCUUGCAUUUUUAGAGGGUGAAAGCUCAAAAUGAAUGUGUUUCUGCAAUUCUGUUUCUGCAAGGACGCCCUUCCUGGCAUCCCCGCUGCCCCUGGCAGUUUUCUCACUGAGGUCUUUCACUGGGAACUGCAGCAGGCAUGCAGCAUUCGACGUAAGAAUGUGAAGUCCUCAACUCCCUGGUUUUUGCUUCAGAGGUGCUGUUGGAGGUGGGGGACCAUGAUGCCAAGACACCAGGAAAGUGGAGACAUGGAGACUUGGAGACACUCUUUCACAGCUGCCUGGAACUCUGGUCACACAUCAUUCCUGAAAACAUGGUCUGGAUAUAGAGAACCCUGGUCCAGCAGCUGCCUGCCCUGCCACAGUGAAGCCACCUCCACUUCCAUUGGCUAUUCUGGAGUGACUGACAGUCAGAGUGGGCAGAGGGAGCUGAUGGCAGAGAUCGAUGUAUGAGCAUGAGCCAGGCAGAGUUCCAAGCCAG